CGUGUAGGCGGCUCAUCAAGUCUGGUGUGAAAUCGACAGGCUCAACCUGUCAUAUGCGCUGGAAACUGGUGGGCUUGAGUUCUGGAGGGGAAGCUGGAAUUCCAGGUGUAGGGGUGAAAUCUGUAGAUAUCUGGAAGAACACCGGUGGCGAAGGCGAGCUUCUAUCCGAGGACUGACGCUGAGGCGCGAAAGCGUGGGGAGCAAACAGGAUUAGAUACCCUGGUAGUCCACGCUGUAAACGAUGUGCACUAGGCGUGGGGCACGUACGUGCUCUGUGCCGUAGUUAACGUGUUAAGUGCACCGCCUGGGGAGUAUGCUCGCAAGGGUGAA
Molecule: ribosomal RNA, 330 nt
Filed under: uncultured bacterium
Lineage: Bacteria
Description: bacterial SSU rRNA
Rfam family: Bacterial small subunit ribosomal RNA
Source: RNAcentral